RNAcentral lists this transfer RNA (68 nucleotides) under Nannocystis exedens. RNAcentral describes it as "tRNA-Thr". The record is from RNAcentral. Lineage: Bacteria; Pseudomonadati; Myxococcota; Nannocystales; Nannocystaceae.
GGGUGAUGGCGAGCGGGCGCUCGCUGUUCGUGCCGGAGACCGACGCGAUCGUGGCGGGCAUCGCCCGC